UGCUAUUGAAGUUACGUCAGAUGAACAUCCAAGGCAGUUUCUCAGUAUGCCAGAAGAAGCCCAGCAGAUGGUUUUUUAACCUGAGGCACACCUUGCAGUUUGGCAUUGGAUUACACCAUGCCGGUCUGAAUGACAAAGAUAGAUCUCUGGUUGAGGAACAAGAUUCAGGCAUUUCUGUUUUACCUCAGUAUUGAUUUGUACAAGCACAUUGGCAUGGGGUGUAAACCUUCCAGGUCAUCAUCUGGUCAUUAUUAAGGAGUAUAUUGCAGCAGCUGUUCUUCAGGACAAAUUUACGUAAGUGUUGAUUCUCUUGCCGUCGCAGGGAACAGAAUAUUAUGAUGGGAAAACAACGAGAUAUGUUGAUUUAUCAAUAUCAAUCACAG
Long non-coding RNA from Prunus persica (peach), 383 nucleotides. RefSeq lists it as uncharacterized. The transcript is spliced from 3 exons. NCBI's taxonomy places the organism in Eukaryota, Viridiplantae, Streptophyta, Magnoliopsida, Rosales, Rosaceae. The record is from RefSeq and is a predicted model, not a curated record.